Molecule: ribosomal RNA, 244 nt
Filed under: uncultured Staphylococcus sp.
Lineage: Bacteria; Bacillati; Bacillota; Bacilli; Caryophanales; Staphylococcaceae
Description: partial 16S ribosomal RNA
Rfam family: Bacterial small subunit ribosomal RNA
Source: RNAcentral
CGGCGGACGGGUGAGUAACACGUGGAUAACCUACCUAUAAGACUGGGAUAACUUCGGGAAACCGGAGCUAAUACCGGAUAAUAUAUUGAACCGCAUGGUUCAAUAGUGAAAGACGGUUUUGCUGUCACUUAUAUAUGGAUCCGCGCCGCAUUAGCUAGUUGGUAAGGUAACGGCUUACCAAGGCAACGAUGCGUAGCCGACCUGAGAGGGUGAUCGGCCACACUGGAACUGAGACACGGUCCAG